ACUUUGCAUCCUUUGUUUGUUUACUGUAUUGGUUUUAUUAAUCCGGUAGGAAAAACAGAGGCAGCCGGGGGCUGAGUGCUGUAAAUAGCAAGGAUUGUCUUCGUGUUUCACGUCUUUCAGCCCAAAGCUUAUUAAAAUGGCUUCUCUGCAAACAUUGCCAACUCCUCAAAUAAUACUGCGAUGGAUGCACAGAAGUGUUGCAUUGGAUGUGUCCCCAAAGCUGAAGGGACAGCCUGAGCCUCUUUCCACUCCUGCUGGUGUGGAACCAGAAUGUUUUCCCUUUAGCUCCUACAAAAUGUUAUCUCACGCUCUUUCAGCAUUUGUUUUCUGCCCAGGGGAUACAAUAGUUGAGUGCCAUGGCUUCACAUUCAUGGCUUUGGGUUUUAGAACCGUUGCUAAUGGUCACGGUGUGAGCACUGGAAUCAAUCCUUGGGUGUUUUACAGCUGUCCUGGGUGCACACAGGCUCUGGGGUGGGAAAAGCUGCCUGUCUGAUAUACAAAGGGAUGAGAAGCCCUGGGAGUAGUAAAUCAGAUGUGUUUUUUGGCAGCAUCGUAUCCAGGGUUAAUCUCAAAAAACCCAAAUUGCUAUAAAUAACACUUUAAUUGCAAAAAAUGAGAGCUGAUCCUUUCCCCUUGUUUUCCUUAAUUUGGAAGCUCAUUUAAAGUCCUCAGUUCCUUGUAAUUUUUCCUCACUAAGUUCUUCAGUAGCUUUGUUGUUAUUAUUUUUUUCCUUGUUUCCUUUUACUUUUCUUUAGGGUUUCCAGCAUUUAAUGACUUGCUUGGAUGAAGUGGUAGUGUGUGCUGGAAACGGUGCUGCAAGGACACACGUAGAGCCUCCAGCAGUGGCUGAGUUAGCAAUGGAAUGAAUCUCUCAGUGCUGCAGCCUCCUGGCUCCCUCAGGAUCUGGGUUGGUGUCACUAUGGGGAUGAGUCCAGAGAGGCCCUUGUUCUUCUGAGCGCCAUUUGAGUCUUGUUUCUCAGCCAUCCCAUGGUUCUGUGGUGACUCAGUGGUGGUUCUGGCCUCACCACGGUCCAUUUUUGCCAUGGUACAACCAAUGCUGGUACAAACAGCCUGGAAUUCAGUGCUUGGCUCUAUCAUCUAACAAUCUCCUGAAGACACGGACCACAGCGUUUGCUUUAACAACUAUCAGCCAAGCUGCAAACAAGCAGGAUGCAAAACACACUGAAACAGGAGCAUCUAAAAAGCAUCCAGAGAGGUCUGCAGAUCUAAUGGAAAUGGGAGCUGCUGUGCAUUUCCUCAGUGCUCUGCACACAUCUGGUGGUGAGGAGCCUCUCAGUUGGCCAAGGCGCCAUUCCAAGGAGGGAAGAAGCACCUUGCCCCUCUGCCAGCCCCUGCUCUCCCCUGUCUUGGUGUGGAAUGAGAGGAGAAUCAUGAGGGAAGCUUUUCAGGUCAUCACGGUGUGUCUGACUGGUGGAGCCUGUCUGUACUGUUAUUGUUUCCUGUAUAACAUUCUGAUGUUGGAAACGACUCCUAUUCUACUUCGUCUGUCGGUGUCUGCUUUUCUCAGACAGGUGGGGUGGGUGGAGUUUCUUUUUCUUCUCAGAUUAUUGUUUCUUCUUUAAGUUUUAAGUUUUUGAUUGUGGCACCAAGUAGUGUGGAUGAACUGCUGAACACCCAGACCUGCCCGUGUGUUCUGUGUAACAAGGGGCAGGCUGGGCUCCCUGCACACAGAGCAAUCUUGCUAUCGGUCUAACCAGUGGCCUAGUCUGCAACCCGCUCCCCUGGGUAAAAAAUGGCCUUGAUGCUACACUGCAAGAAUCCUGAGCAUUUAUCAUGGAGGGUGGCAAGGUGCUUCAAUGCAGUAAAAUAAGAGCAAAGAACCAGCUAAAAUAGGGUGAAAGUUUUCCCACAUCCUUGUAGCAUUCAAUCUGAAAUCUCUGUCUCUGAAGCUGUUGGUACUUAUCUGCAAGUUUGAGUUGAGAAUCAUGUAGCUGUGAGCCUGUUCCUCUAACAUCUUUGCCCCAGAUAGGAAGUCCUCUCUUCCAGGCACCAGCAGGGCUUGCUGCCUGCGUUCCUCCCUGCUUGUGUAAUUGAGCAAAGCAAAUGUAUUGCGCAGGGUCAGCUGUUGAUUAUUGCUCCUGGUGUGAGCUAAGGCUGCUUACAGUGUCAGCACAGAAAUACUGUUCACACAAACGGCACUAACUCUUGGGCCCUUGGGUACCUUUUGGUGCUAGGAAUUAAAUCAAGUGAAAGAGCAGCACAUCACCCUUCUCAGGGUGGGCAUAAAUUUCAGAGGCUGAGCUAAACUUUAGUUUGGAAAGUGCCAGGUUGUGUUGCUGGCUAUUGCUGGGAGGUGCACUUCUACCUAUGACCCCCCAGAAUUAAAGGAAAACCAAUUGUGGAGUUCCUCAGCAAGCUGGGGAAGGGCGCUGAUGUUUAAUUGUUUGCUGCUUGGUAAAGAACAGUUUUAUCAUUUCUGUCUUAUCAUUAAUAGCAGCCUGACCCAACAGAUCACACUGCUGGUGCUGUUCAGCUCAGAGUUCUUCUCAGCGCUAAAAUAAAGCACAGAGAAAAGCAAAGCUCAGCCAGCAACAUCUGCUGGAAGGGGAGCCAUCUGUAUCAUCUUGGUUUACCUGUGAGCAUGGCUGAGCUUUGUAGAUCCCGACUUUUCAUUCUCUCUGGUGACCCUUUGGCUCUCUGUCUCUCAUUGCCUGGUGCAAUUAUCAUUAAUUAAGGCAAGGUUCCUGCCCAAAGCUGAGCAGCUCUGGCAGUGGAUCAUUGGAUCAGUGGUCCACAGAGGGCAGAGGCUCCUCCACACAGCGCCCACUGUUGUUGGAAAAGCUCAUUGAAUAAACUGGGAAAGAAAAUCUAUCAGCCCGUGACAGGGAUUAUUUUAAUAACCUAAAAUCUUAUUGCUUCUGGAACAUCUGCUCUUUGGUGGAGCAAACAAAUAGGUUUUAAUUUCAUUGCCUUAACUUCAUGGAGAUAAAUUAGAGAAGUGCAAUAACUGAUAUUAUUUGGGAUAACAGCAUUAUUUUUUUUCACAUCGGUCACAAAAGGAAAACUGCAGGAAAUACAAAGCCAAUGGAAACACCUUCAAUCUCAGACCCUUGAAAUAUCUGCAUCUUAAUCUAGAACAGCUGGGAAAAGCAAACUUCACUUGACCUUUAAGUUUGCAGAGGAAAGCAGUUACCGAGUUACUCCUUUGGAGGUGACGCAGUGAGGUGGUGUUACUCAGUAAUAUUCCUUGUCUGUAUAGAGGCUAAUGUAUUCCCAUUGUAUUUAAUUAGUUUUGAACCUAUGUGUGUGAGAAAUGCAGUGCAGUGCUGUUAUUAAAAUUCAUGCUUUAUAAUAAUUAGCACAGUUUGUACAGGCUCUGAGAACUGCCAGCGAAAGGACUAUUAACUUUGGUUAAUGGUGGAACUGUCUCACCCGUGCUGUCAUUUAACCCAUUGCUGCAUUUUUAAGGGGAGAAAAGUUAUGUUUGUUCUCGAAGGCUACGUCAGGCCAGCCAUUAAUUACCAAAACUCAUUAAUUAUAACAGAUCGGCUGCUUUAAAAUCUCCUUAACUGAGCUUUUGUGAUGAUCAGUAGGAAAAUGGUGACAAACACAGGCAGGAACUGCCCUUUUUAAAUUGCUGGUGUUUUAUCUCUCAUCGAAUCCUUAUCUGAAACUGAGAAAAAUGACCAGUAAGGUUCAGAAACUCAUUCUUCAGAAGAUCAAAGUCAUAAAAUUCUGGUAAUUCCCUUCGAGACAGAAAUAGGAAUUACAGUUAAGAGUCUUCUCCUCGUGACUUCUUCUUUUUUCUUUCAUAUUAAAACUCUCUAAUUCUUCCCCAAAUCUCCCAUUGUAUUCCACUGUAAACUUAAUUUGCUGAGCUAUCAGGAAAAUCUCUUGGUUAAAAACUGCCUCUUGCAAGAGCAGCUGGAAAGCAGAAAUGCUGAAGAACCACAGUGAUGCCCCGAUUCCUCAUUGCUCCCAGCAAACAUGCCUGGAGCCUUUGGUCUUGGUUGUUGGUAAACCUUGGCCUCGUCUUGUGGUUCAGGCCUCACAGCUGGGUGUUUACAGGCAGAAUUUCAGCUGGGUUCUCUGAAUUUCUUGAAAGCCCUUUUGCCUUGAUUUGUUUUUGUCUCUUCUAGUGCCAGGUUAUUCCUAGAGCAACUCUCAUUGCUUUGCUUUGUCUCACGUUGCCAUGUGGCUGCAAUGUCACUAAUCUGUGUGGUAUCCACUCUCUGCCCUGCAGGUGUGCAUCCUUUCUGACUAAGUUCCCCUGGAAGCAGUUUUACCUUUGGGUUUGUUCUUUUUUGUUAAGAAGAAUUUUGCCCUGCAUCCAUAUUCUUAAUGGCUAUUUAGAGAGUGAAGUGUUUGGAUGUGCUUGAAAAUAGCCCUGGGCACCUAUUUGCCAUGUGUAGGUGCAUAAAGAUGUGAGAAAAAACCACCAUCUGGUGUCUCCAGGCUCAGAUCCUCAGAAAAUACACAGAAUACUGAAAGGAAAAGAGUUUAGGCACAUGCAUUUCUUCUGAUGAUCUGUUCAACCCUUUGUGUCUCUCUCAGAGGUGUGCAAAGAAAGAAUGCACAAAAGAAUAGGGAGGGCCCGUGUGUGUCUCUGCAUGUGUUCUGCAGAUGAUAGUAGGGAAGGUCAGCAGGAAGAAAGGAUUGCCUUCGAAAAAGUAUUCCACCCUCUAAUUUUUGAGCUCUUACGUUGUAAAAGAAGGAACUGAUGACCUGGUGCCUAAAUAGCAUUGCCAACUCAAAGGCCAUCGGUUCUAGGAACAAUUUUGAGGCACUUUGAGCCAUUUUUCCUUAUUUUUCUUUCAUCUUUUUGUAGUAAAAUUUCAGAUUUGAUCUUUUGUUUCCAAUAUUGGCUCCAAGAGAGGAUACGCUUUGCUGUGCCAGGACGCAAAUCGUUGUCAUUUUAGAAAACCAAAACCCAUUACCUGUGCUUUUCCUUAGGGCAGAAGACAGAAGCACUAAUACUAUAACAGAGUCUGUUUUCUGCUCAGUGCUUGGUAUGAUGGCUGGAAAUCCUGAUAUUUGGAGAUAAGGAGCACCCCACAUCUGGGAGGGUAUUCACACUGACAUCCGAGCAGCUCCCAAUGGCAACUGCAGGCACUUUGGCUUUUAUUUUGGUCACUGGAUUGAAUGGACCCUGAGAAACACUAGGGGAAAAAAUACCAAAACACUCCUAAGCCCAGAAGAAGCUGCAGAUGCUUCAAGCUGAUGCCUGGGAUGGGAAAUUAAUAGAGUUAUUAUUCAUUUCAAUGGUGGCUCUUUAAAUGUGGGGCAAUGCUUUGAUUCUGAGCCUGCUCUGUGAUCAUUUUCCUUUUUGUUAGACACUCCUUGAUGCUGGGCCAAUUCCCUGAGUUGCACGUUGUCAAUCAGGUGAUGAUCCAAAUGUUCGCCUACUUCUCCACCACUUUCUUUCUCUCUGACUCCAUCAGAAGCACAUGACACAUCCGUGGAUCAUGGGAGAGAGAGGCAGGUUUGCUCUCCUUUAUUUCUCUGCUGGAGGGGAAAAAAAAGACUCUCAGCUGUAUAAUCAUCUUCCUAUAAAAUAAAUUACUUUAUCUGUCUUAAUACUGUCACUCUUCAGUCCUCCAGUGAUCUACUUCUUCCAUCUGUGUGCAUAACUGAAAUCUUCUCUCCACCUACUCUAUGUACUUCCAAGUGUCAAAAUCCAGCCUCAAUCAUUGCUGUCAUCAGUCUCUCGUUCCUGAUGGGAUAGCAGGUGAAACAUCACUGUUCCUCAGACCUCUAUGGGUAAUUUCUGUGCUCGCUUUGCAGAGUUGACGUAAACUAUCAGAUAUAUGACCUAAAAGAGUUUUGUUUUGUUUUGUGGGUUUGUUUUUUUUUGUCAGCUUUCUGCUCUUGAAGCAGGUGGGUACUUUUGUUGCUUUCUGGGUCUUGUUUCCAUCAUGAAUCUUGCUGCAUAAUUUCAGGAGAUAACCACAUUACCCAAAUCCUAUGAAGGUUGACUUAUUGCUUCGUAUUGAGUAAUUCUGCAUGACUCACACUUUGUUCUCUGAUAUAAUUUUUACGCUCGUUUGCAGAAUAUUGUUGAGACAAUUGAGCUUACUUACCAACUGAAAUCACCAUCUUUUGUAACGAGACAGUACAAUCACUUUCCUCUUUCACAAAGCCACUCCAAGAACAAUGGGCCAACCCAUAAAUAACAACCAUUUGUUUUGCUUAGAAUAUGGAUUCUACUUUGCUAAAUGAAAUAACGGCAGGGAAAGAAAGAAACCUUCUUAGAAGCUGUGCAUCUUCCCAGAUAAAAUGUGACAACGUGCCUCUCCUGCUGAGCCGUGACCUACUUUGCUCACAAAAUGCUCUCUCUACCUUCCCUCAAACAUAAAGCUGUUGAAGCCCCAGGAAUUCUUCACCUCGGGUGAGAAGCUGUGAAGCGUCAGUCCCCACUGAAGGAUCCUCAAUGGUUUUCCUGUCUGGCAGCACCGUGCUGCUUAUCGCAUCCUCUGCUUCUGCCUCUCCACUCAUGGUGUUGCUGUUGGGAUGGGUUUUUAUCGCAGCAUACACCCCGUGACUUUGGAGCUGGGUGAAUUUUGCCAUCUUGUGAGAGGUUUGGGUACUUUUCUUUUGGACUGGGUUUAUUUUUGGUGAGCUCCAUUUAAAAUGUUUUGCUCUGCUGUAAUCUUUGUUUUAAUUCCCUCGUAUCUUUUUUACGACUGAGAAGGAAUCCUUUUCUUCUAGCUAAUAUAUUAUGUGCAUCAGAACUUGGUAGUGUGCCUGUUCAUGGAGAAACAGGAGUUGAGAUCGAGCAUCAACAGCUGUGGGAAUGACCUACACCAUAUGGGACAUACGGCAUUACCCAGACUGUGUUACAUAAGGAAUAAAAUCAUGUUGCUUUGCUGAAGUAUGCAAGGAGAGAGAACUAGAACAUGAUGACAAAUGACUGCUCCCAGUGAUAAAGGUCCUUAGAUGGGGUUUUUUUGGCUUUACAAGAAAUGCAUGCAAUCUACUUGUUAAAUUCAAGUUCAUUGCAUGGCAAAGGCAGCAUGCCUUGGUUUGGUACUUGUCUUAGUUAAGCAGAGCAGCACUUAAAUAUAGAAGCUGAGUUUGUCCAUCAGGUUUUGCAUUUAUGACUCAGAACUGAAGGUACUGAUUGCAGCAUGUAGACAUUAUCGCCCACUGGGUGAUGCUCAGGCUCGUCAUUUGGGGCAGAUUAUUAGAUUUUAAUGCCACAAAGCAUCACUACAGUCAGAAGGUAAAUAAAGAUUUGUUAGAUAGAAAAAUUGAUCCUGAUUGUUUAGCCAAAAAGAAGUCUGGGAAAUGAUACUAUACAACCAGUGUAUGUGCUUAUGGGUGUUGUGUUGCACCUUGGAGGUCUGCCUGCAAGAGCUGAUGGCCCCAACCUCUUGCUAACCCAAGGCAAACCUUUAAAUGCUGGGGAAUUAACAACAAACCAGAAGGAAAAUAGUUGAUUCUUUAGGUCUUGCUUUCUUUUAGCUAUGACUGGUACCUUUCAGGAUGACAAUUGCAUUAAACAACUGCUAAUGUCAUGCAAAAGGCUGGAUGUCAUCACCUGUGACACUCAGGAGGUUGGAUCACAGCUCCUUUCCUCUGCCAGGGGAAGUCUUUGAACCAUCUCAUCUCAUCUUAUGCCUCGCAUUUGCUGAUAUCAUGUAACGGGGUAUGUACUCUAUCCACUCUACAUUUCUGACUUAAUUCUUUAUCAGCACCGUCUCUCUUAUUCCCAGAGGAGAGCUGAGCAGAGCUGUGUGGAGCCCCUUCCCCUCUGCACAGGGAGUUCCAGUGCCUGCCUUGGCACUAGGGGAAAUGCUAAUGGUGUCAAACAUAAUACAUUAGCAAGACAGCUUGCAUGCAUGAUGAUUGAAGGACCUCAGUGUAAUUGACAAGCUGCCUCUGGGAGCUGAUCCUGUGUGUAAUUUUCUCCCUAAAUUUGGAACUUCCAGAUGCACUGAAUGGCCUUAUUGCACGUUUUUUGGCUUGAUGUUUGGGUACCAAUUUCUGUGUUUCUGAGGAGUAGAAGUAUUGUAUGUUAUGCUUAAUGGAGUCAUCUUUACAUGUGUAUGACUUUGUAAUGAAAGAAAGCUUAUAUAGAGUUAAGAUCGGGUUAUUUUUAGACAUUUUAUAAACAAUAUAGCCCCCCAAAUAAGUCCUGAAGUAUCCUGAAGUUACAAUAAGGUACAGCUUUCUAUGCUUUAAAUGAUCUGAAAUCCCCCUUUGCAAUAGUUCUCAAGCUCUUCACCUAGCACUUAUGAUUUCAUUUUGCCUUAUGCUUUGUCUGCUUGUGAUAUCGCCUUGCUUGCAUUUGAGAACUCAUCCUUGCAUGUGGAAAGAAGCUGCUUGCACGCCAUCUUCUAGGAAUAAAAGCUCUAAUCUGCUGCACUGGGUUUCAUAAAUAUUUUAUCAUUCAUUGUUUGGAAUAUUCUCCUGGUGAACCUCAGCAGCUGCUUUUCAUGAAGAUAAUUCCUGAUUCAAGAGCAAGGGUUUGCUUCCAUGUUCUGGGUAAGAACUGCAGCCCAGGUAACCCCAUUGCUGUGGGUGCAGGCAGCAUUUUUCCUCUCAUUGCUGCAUACUUCUUCCUAUUACCACACUUUGGUAUUGUGAGAGCUUUGCAUUGAAGAAAGAAGCAGUACGUAACAUAGAAAUCUCUGCACUUGCAGGAGCUUUAGUGCCUUCCAUGGCAGCAGGGCCAGAAAGUGAUGCCCUGUGCUGUGCUGCUCUGGAGUCCACAGGGUUCAGCAAGGAUCCUGGCACUGGGCUCCAGCUCCAACCCUACUACUGUCACUGGAAUUCCACCAUCACUGCUGAGUGACAAUGGUGUCAUUGGUUUCACUGCUGUAAGCAUGGGGGGACAAAAUGAAACCCUCAUUCCUAAACAAUGUGUUUCAGCCCUCCUUGUCUCUCCCCUGGAUUCUGAUGCCAGCUAGUUAGAGCGAUAUGAAUGGUGUCAUAAAGCUUGGGCUUAGCUGAAAGAUGGAAACAAAGUGUGUGUGUGUCUGAAAUGCCUCUCAAAAUGCCACUUUUCUGAUGUACAAUUUUCAUUCUAUUGAUUCAUUUAUUUAAUUUUUUUUACAUACACUUAUGUAAUUGUAAACUGUACCCAUUUACACCUUCCAGAAGGCAGUAACUUCGGGAGUGAACGCAGGGAUUAUUUUUAGUACGUAUUCAAGUUUAUUCAUGAUGAAAGGUAGUAGUUAUCUUUUGUAAUUUUAGAGUAGCUCUUUGAAUAAAAACAUGAGUAUAGCUCCAUGUUAACUGCCAUGUGACACUUGGGAGUGGGCUAAAACCUCUCUUAGGAUGCCAGAAUCUCUGCCUUUUUGCUUUGCAUCACCCCAGUAGGUUAAUACCCCACUGGUAGAGGUGUGUGUGUUGGGACCUGUGUCUAUCAGUGCAUACAACAUGAGCCAUCUUGCGUGCCCUGUGAUGGAAGUACCUCUAGGCCAGAAGGAAGGACAGUUUUCAGUGUUGGUUUUUGUGUGUGGAAAAGCUUAUUGAAAUUCAGCUAUGCUCUCAGAGUCCAAAUUCCAUACUGAGCCAUCACCAGAGGGGUUAUUAGAUAGAAAUCUGUGGGUCCUCAGCUGAGUGUUCUCCCCAGAGCCGAGUAAAUACCUCUGUGAGCCAAAUAGCGGAACCUUUUCUUCAGUUCACAGAUAACCGUGCAGGGGUUGUGAGUUUCUCAUGUUUUGGGAUCACUGUUCAGAUAAGCCUUAUGUUCUUGUUUCUGUUUUCUGAUGGAAUCAUUAAAAAAUGAGGAGCCUGCAAGAAGGAGUGUGAAAUUUGGGGGGGAAGGAGCUCAGAUGUUUGUCCAAGGAGGCACGCAGGGAUUUGGCUGGGACAGACUAACACAGAGGCACCAGCAAAAGGUCAGCAAAAAUGCACUUUGCAAAACGCCCUUUGUUCCCAAGUUUGAUUUCCAAGAAUUUGAAUAUCAGCCUCUGAUUUAGAGAUAACUGUGGGUCUGACACUAGAAGAAGCUGUGCUGUAAAAAUAAUAAGUGAGUCAUGAUGAUAAUGAGGCUAUCAUUAUGCAAUAACAAGCUAUCCUGGUUUCCUUUGCAGGCAGUGCACAACUGUACAUUGUGAUAUCCCAGAUAAUCUGGGUUGCUCCUAUCUCAGGGCCUGAACUCGUAUCUCUGUGCAAUACCAUCUUACAGAAGCAUUCUGCAGAAUAAUGACUCUCACUGUCUCCUUCACAAACAAAUGCAUCAUAAAAGCAUUUGUACUACCAAGUUCAUUGACAACAAGAGGUGUUUCAUGACAUAUUUAUUCUCCUAAUCUAUAUUUCUAUUCAGGGCUUUUUGAAAGUGUUUUCCAGCUUAGGAGUCCUAAUGAAUCAGUCCUGUGUCUGCUCAUGCUUCCUCAAUAAUAAACUCUAACUCCCUAGCAAUGUUUGCCAGCUGGAACUGCACAGUCACUGUGGAGCAGUGGAAGGCAGAGAUGGAGAAGUUCCUCAUGACAUACCCAAGUCACAGGAACAGGAAAGUGAUGUGGUUUGUAUUGUAUUCCCACUGCAGCAGCUGAGAGGUGCAGAAGGCCCAUUUAUGUGAGCACGUGCUGUUUUCUUUGACUGACAGCUGUGCACACUGGCAGGGAGGGCAUUGGACCCCAGCUGUUCUCAGCUCCAUCCCAAUGCUGUGCUCCUCCUGCCCAGAUAAGUGGUCACAUUUCAGUCUCUGCUGCUCUGACUCCAUGCAGGUGAUGGGCUGAGCAGUUUCCUAAUGUGCAAAUGUCAGAACCUGUGAAUGCUUACACUUCUGCAGGCAUUUCCCUUGAGAGUUCCCUGAUCCUCAAUCCAUUUGCCUGGAGAUAAUCUGCUGCUUUUUUUCUUUUUUCUUUUUUGAGCUUUGGCACUGGAGUAUACAAACGUUCCUUGUUGUCUUUCAGUGGUUGUUGUGAAUAGAAGAGCUUCAGAUCAGCCUUGCUUACUAUCCACAGCUCUUACACCUCAGAAAUAUGUGAAGGUGGUUGCUGCCUCCAGGCCCACAGAACCUUCCCCAGGCUGUUAAAUCUAUCACUUCCCUUCCCCAUAAGCAAGAGAUCUGCAGUGGUGGCUGCUAGCAAUGUAAAGCAUUUCAUCAUCUUGCUAAUAUAUUCACUGAGCUGGUAAGUGAUCAAUUGAGGCCAACUCCUUGCUUCUCUUUCUACCUGCAUCUUUCCUUUUUCUCAAAGACACCAUCUCUCACUCUGCAUCACUAUUCAGUGAUUGCUGUGCUUUCACUGCUGGUCUCUGUACUCCAUUUUUAUGCAUUUCUGAUACAGAGUUUUGAGAGGAAUUAGCUAAAUUUGGAGAAACAUUACUACUGUGAAUCAGACCCAUUAACUCCCGGAUGCUUUAUUCUUUUGUUCGGCUUCUUUGCAAAUAUAUGUGGUGGGAAGUGACAUGGUGAGAGAGCUCCAAAAGUAUCAGGGUUUCCCCAAUUAGAUGCGUGUUUUCAUCAGCAGGACCCAAUUACUCAAGAAAAGAAAGGUGGAGUCGAAUUCAGUGACAUGUUUGAGUGGGCAUGGUGGUGAUAGGUUGAUGGUUGGACUGGAUGAUGGUCUUAGUGGUCUUUUCCAACCCUUAUGAUUCUGUGAUCUGCUGGCAGUAUGUGGAUGGUAGCUCUUGGACUUUGGAGAGGUGUAUUAAGUGUUGUUUUGUGUUUGAGAUUCAAGACAGGGAGAGAAAACCCAACUUGUGCAUUUGCAGCUAAGAUAAAGGGAAGCUCCUGGCAGUGGUGCCAGAAUGUUUCUAAGUUGCCUCUUACUCUGCCUUUUAAGUUUCAUGAGAAAUAAACUGCUAUAUUCUUUUUGUGAAUUAACAUAUGGUGGCUGUAUGUGUAUUAAAAUUCUUCACCAUUUACAGUC
Long non-coding RNA from Coturnix japonica (Japanese quail), 11789 nucleotides. RefSeq lists it as uncharacterized. NCBI's taxonomy places the organism in Eukaryota, Metazoa, Chordata, Aves, Galliformes, Phasianidae. The record is from RefSeq and is a predicted model, not a curated record.